ACACACACACACACACAUAUAUAUAUAUAUAUAUAUAUAUAUAUAUAUAUAUAUAUAUAUAUAUAUAUGCAUAGGUAUAUGUCUGUGUGUGCCUGUGUGUGUGUA
Molecule: microRNA precursor, 105 nt
Filed under: Trypanosoma vivax Y486
Lineage: Eukaryota; Euglenozoa; Kinetoplastea; Trypanosomatida; Trypanosomatidae
Source: RNAcentral